Molecule: ribosomal RNA, 590 nt
Filed under: uncultured archaeon
Lineage: Archaea
Description: bacterial SSU rRNA
Rfam family: Archaeal small subunit ribosomal RNA
Source: RNAcentral
AGAGGGUUCGGCCCUCGGCGUAAUGCUCACCUAACACGUGGAUAAUCUGACCUUAGGUGGGGCAUAAUCUCGGGAAACUGAGGCUAAUUCCCCAUAGAUCUGAUCUGCUGGAAUGCUUUCAGGUUUAAAACUCCGGUGCCUAAGGAUGAGUCUGCGGCCUAUCAGGUUGUAGUGGGUGUAAUGGACCCACUAGCCUUCGACGGGUACGGGCCUUGAGAGAGGAAGCCCGGAGAUGGACUCUGAGACACGAGUCCAGGCCCUACGGGGCGCAGCAGCUGCGAAAACUUCGCAAUGUGGGAAACCACGACGAGGGAAUUCCAAGUGCUGGCGCAAUGCGUCAGCUGUUCUUUAGCCUAAAAAGCUAAAGGAGUAAGGGCUGGGUAAGACCGGUGCCAGCCGCCGCGGUAAUACCGGCAGCUCGAGUGGUAGUCGUUUUUAUUGGGCUUAAAGCGUCCGUAGCCUGCUCUAUAAAUCCUUGGGUAAUCGGCCAGCUUAACUGACCGACUUCUGAUGAGACUGUAGAGCUUGGGACGGGNAAANUCAAAGUACUCCAGGGGUAGGGGUGAAAUCCUGUAAUCCUGGGGGACUAC